GGGGCUGAUUCUGGAUUCGACGGGAUUUGAGAAACCCAAGGUGCAUGCCGAGGGGCGGUUGGCCUCGUAAAAAGCCGCAAAAAAAUAGUCGCAAACGACGAAACCUACGCUUUAGCAGCUUAAUAACCUGCUUAGAGCCCUCUCUCCCUAGCCUCCGCUCUUAGGACGGGGAUCAAGAGAGGUCAAACCCAAAAGAGAUCGCGUGGAUGCCCUGCCUGGGGUUGAAGCGUUAAAACGAAUCAGGCUAGUCUGGUAGUGGCGUGUCCGUCCGCAGGUGCCAGGCGAAUGUAAAGACUGACUAAGCAUGUAGUACCGAGGAUGUAGGAAUUUCGGACGCGGGUUCAACUCCCGCCAGCUCCACCA
RNAcentral lists this transfer-messenger RNA (363 nucleotides) under Salmonella enterica. It matches the Rfam family "transfer-messenger RNA". From Rfam's summary of the family: Bacterial tmRNA, also known as 10Sa RNA or SsrA, is named for its dual tRNA and mRNA-like properties. Its role is to liberate the mRNA from a stalled ribosome. The record is from RNAcentral. RNAcentral also lists the same sequence under 1 other name. Lineage: Bacteria; Pseudomonadati; Pseudomonadota; Gammaproteobacteria; Enterobacterales; Enterobacteriaceae.